GACGAACGCUGGCGGCGUGCCUAAUACAUGCAAGUCGAACGAGAGCGACCGGUGCUUGCACUGGUCAAUCUAGUGGCGAACGGGUGAGUAACACGUGGGUAACCUGCCCAUCAGAGGGGGAUAACAUUCGGAAACGGAUGCUAAAACCGCAUAGGUCCUUUAACCGCAUGGUUGAAGGAGGAAAAGAGGCGCAAGCUUCUGCUGAUGGAUGGACCCGCGGUGCAUUAGCUAGUUGGUGAGGUAACGGCUCACCAAGGCCGUGAUGCAUAGCCGACCUGAGAGGGUGAUCGGCCACAUUGGGACUGAGACACGGCCCAAACUCCUACGGGAGGCAGCAGUAGGGAAUCUUCCGCAAAGGACGCAAGUCUGACGGAGCAACGCCGCGUGAGUGAAGAAGGUUUUCGGAUCGUAAAACUCUGUUGUUAGAGAAGAACAAGUGCUAGAGUAACUGUUAGCGCCUUGACGGUAUCUAACCAGAAAGCCACGGCUAACUACGUG
This 498-nucleotide ribosomal RNA is filed under the name uncultured bacterium. RNAcentral's name for it is "partial 16S ribosomal RNA". It matches the Rfam family "Bacterial small subunit ribosomal RNA", at positions 28 to 507 of the family's 1533-position model. The record is from RNAcentral.